This 63-nucleotide ribosomal RNA is filed under the name Anopheles peditaeniatus. RNAcentral describes it as "partial 5.8S ribosomal RNA". Lineage: Eukaryota; Metazoa; Arthropoda; Insecta; Diptera; Culicidae. The record is from RNAcentral.
AGGUUAGUGACGCAUAUUGCACGUCGUGGGAACCUACCAUGAUGUACACAUACCUGAGUGCUU